UUAUUUCAAUAAAAUUCCGAUCCAUAUAUUCAGCUUUCAUGCGUUUGAGACUGAAACUUUAAAAUUUUGUCAUGCUCGAAAAAAAAAAAUCCUUUCUAUUAAAAGAAUUAUGGGAAAACUAUUAAUUAAUCUAUGACAAUUUUAUCAAGGGAAAAAAUAUUAUACUUUCAAUUCCAUCCUAAAUUAAAAAAAAUUACCAAUCAAACUCUAAAAAAAAAUUAUUUGUUAUUAUAUUUUCAAAAUAAGCUCUUGAUUUUUAAUCCCUAAUCUCCAAAAUCGAGAGCUUUCUUACUCUCUUUUAUUCUUCUUCUACUGUUGCAUAUAAAAUUGUUUCGCCAACGAACGUUUUCUUCCUUUCUUUAAUUCAAAGCACAUAGAAAAUGUCUUUUAUAUCUCCAAGUGAUGUCUCCCUACUUGAAGCCAAGAAGUGAUAUUUGAAGUAAUUGUUUUUUGCGAACAUGGGGUAAGAGUUGCUCUAUAUAUAUCGUGGAUAAUGUAAAAUCCAGAACAUAAGUUUUUUUGAUAUGAUGCUUGGAAGAUAAGUAUAAUAAUCUUUGUUUAUGAUUUUUCCCGGUUGAUAUAUUUAUGGUUUUUGUUGGUUCAUAUGAUUAAGUGUACGCAUAUGGUAAUGUGUAACAGUGUAAUCUUAAUAGUUCAGAGUUUAAUUGAAUUUUUUUUUUUAAUUU
This 686-nucleotide unclassified non-coding RNA is filed under the name Hevea brasiliensis (rubber tree). The record is from RNAcentral. Lineage: Eukaryota; Viridiplantae; Streptophyta; Magnoliopsida; Malpighiales; Euphorbiaceae.